This is a non-coding RNA of Sus scrofa (pig), 566 nucleotides long. Lineage: Eukaryota; Metazoa; Chordata; Mammalia; Artiodactyla; Suidae. The record is from RefSeq and is a predicted model, not a curated record.
AGUCAGUGGCUGUCAGGACCCAGCAUGGACAUGAGGGCCCCCAUGCAGCUCCUCGGCCUCCUGCUGCUCUGGCUCCCAGGUGCCAGGUGUGCCAUCCAGGUGACCCAGUCUCCAGCCUCCCUGGCUGCAUCUCUCGGAGACACAGUCUCCAUCACUUGCCGGGCCAGUCAGAGCAUUAGCAGUAAUUUAGACUGGUAUCAACAACAACCAGGGAAGGCUCCUAAACUCCUCAUUUAUAAGGCAUCCACUUUGCAAAGUGGGGUCCCAUCCCGGUUCAAGGGCAGUGGAUCUUGCACAGAUUUCACCCUCACCAUUAGCGGCCUGCAGCCUGAAGAUGCUGCAAAAUAUUACUGUGUGCAGGGUAUGGUUUUCCUCCCACAGUGUUACAGGACAGCACAACACCCCCCCGCCAGGGAAAUCCCCACCUCUGCCUGCUGAGCGUGGUGAGCAAAGGGGAGUCCCAUCAGGCCCAGGAGGAGCAGGGAUUAGGGGAGCCCCUGGGGUCAGCCCAGGCAGGGGGAUGUGUCACCUCACUGUCAGUUGCUCUUGAAGAGGAUGACCUUUGA